UCUGGCGCCACGGUUACUGAGAUGGGAUAAUUCUUCCAACAUGAUGUCUCUGGGAAUGCUGACUUUUUUGCCCAGGUGCAUGCCAUCUACAUCUGUAAAACAACAUUCAUGUGCAUGAAAACCCCAAGGUUCACCAGCUAUAGUGUCUCUACCAAACGACAAGAACUGGAGUGAACUUGCAGUUCAUGUUAAAAAACAACCCAUUUAGAGGGGCGGAGCAAGAUGGCGGAGGAGUAGGAGACCUGGAUUUCGUCUCCUCUCAGGAAUUCAGCUGGAUAGGGAUCAAACCAUUCUGAACACCUACAAACUCAACAGGAGAUCGAAGAAAAGAAGAGCAACAACUCUCUCAUCAGAAAAGCGACCACUUUCUGGAAGAGGGCUGCCACAGUGUGUUUCCAACUCCUUUGCCACUUGCUACAAGGAAAAAAGAGACUAAAUAAGGUAAAGAACAGAAAUGCAGAAGACUAAGUAACCUGCCCUAGCUCAGAAGCAUUGUUGCAAACACUCAAACCCAGGUUGUUUGGCUUCACAAUAGAUGCUCUUUACACUGUCUCUAAUAGUGAUGAAGGUCCAGACCAUCACAAUUCAUAUCUCCCCAUUAGAUUUAAAAUCUUUAAGGUAGACAUGUCUUUUACUCUUAGUGAGAUGCUUGUUGUCUUACGUAUACCUGUUGCUGUAAAAACUUGAUGCUUUAGGAAUAAAGCCAUUAGCAGAGAGAGAGACCUGAAUAACCAAUUUAGCUGAUUCUGGGACAGAUUCUGUUUCCUGUGUGCAGAAAAUUUACAAAGUAGCCAUGAAUUGGAUCUACUUUUAAUGUAGAUAACACCACUAAGUCUUACCUUACAUAGUUGAGCCUUGAACAGCAUGGGUCCAAUUAUACACAGAUUUUUUUCUGAUAAAUACAGUGCAGUACUGUAAGUACAUCAUUUUCUCUCCCUUACGUUUUUCUUAAAAACAUUUUCCUUUCUCUAGCCUACUUUAUUGUAAGACUACAUUCUAUAAUAUGUAUAAAAUACAAAGCACACGUUAAUCAACUGUUUAUGUUAUCAGUAAGGCUUCCGGUCAACAGUAGGCUAUUAGUAGUUAAGCUUUGGGGGAGUCAAAAUUAUAUGCAGAUUUUUGACUGUGGGGAACUGGGGGGGUUGGUGCCCCUAAUCCCCAUGUUGUUCAAGGGUCAACUGUAUAUUUCAAUGGCCCAUCCCAUAGUAAACUGCAGCAGGUGAACUGUCUCUGUGUGAAGAAAGACUCAGGCAAAUUUAUUUUCCUUAGGCAACACGCAGUGGGAAAAUAUCUCACUUAAGAAUUUGUUCUUUACCUGUUUACUAAACAAUUGCAGGGAAAAAAAUAGAUGAUUUUUUUAAGGAAAUAUGUAUUUACUUAAUGUAUUUAUGUAUGUAUUGAGUGUGUAUUUAGAAAUACUUUUUCUUUUAAUGGUCUAUUUCCCCCAAUUUUAUUACUAAUAUAUGAACAUUAUAUGUAAGUUAUGAAGCACAAUUUUAAAAUGAAUACCUGUGAAUAUAUUGCUCAACUUAAGAAAUAGAAUGCUAUCAAUGCUAUUGAAGCACAUAUCCGUCCCUUCUAUCUUUUCCCUGCUUCCCUGUCCCUUCCCAGAAAUACUCAUAAUAAUAAAUACUUUAAGUCAUUUCCUAGGUCAUCUUCAUGGUUUUUCCAAUGAGCACGUAUAUAUUGCUAAACUUGUAGUUUGCUUUGGGUUAUUUUUGAACUUUGUAAAAUAUUAACAAAUUAUCUAUAUUCUUCAGCAACUUCCUUUUCACUGAAAAAAGUUUCUAAGAUUCAUCCAUGUUAUGUUAUAGCUGCAGGUUAAUGAUUUUCACUACUGUUUAGUAUUCAUUGUAUGAAUAUACCACACUUUUACUAAUUCAGUCUCUUACUGAGAGGUAUUUGUUUUUGUUUUGU
Mirounga angustirostris (Northern elephant seal) is the source of this 1917-nucleotide long non-coding RNA. RefSeq lists it as uncharacterized. The transcript has 4 exons. The record is from RefSeq and is a predicted model, not a curated record. Lineage: Eukaryota; Metazoa; Chordata; Mammalia; Carnivora; Phocidae.